GGGACCAUCCAACAUUUCACACUUCAAGACAACAAUUAGAAAGGAAUCCAGAAAACAUGAAAGUGUUCAUUCUUGCACUUUUGGUAGUGUUGUUUGCCAAUCAGAACUUAGCCUUGCAGUGUUACUGUGGUGGCAGAA
Nematolebias whitei (Rio pearlfish) is the source of this 138-nucleotide long non-coding RNA. RefSeq lists it as uncharacterized. The record is from RefSeq and is a predicted model, not a curated record. The transcript is spliced from 3 exons. NCBI's taxonomy places the organism in Eukaryota, Metazoa, Chordata, Actinopteri, Cyprinodontiformes, Rivulidae.